Molecule: long non-coding RNA, 561 nt
Filed under: Nicotiana tabacum (common tobacco)
Lineage: Eukaryota; Viridiplantae; Streptophyta; Magnoliopsida; Solanales; Solanaceae
Description: long non-coding RNA (NTAB_LNC004000)
Source: RNAcentral
CGCCCCUCUUUGUUCCUUCGUUUGUGCGCCAAGUGGAGGACUUUUCACCAGAAUGGUGGAAUUUGGUGACAACUUCAACAUGGUUCCAUGACUAUUGGAUGAGCCAGAACCAGGGAGAGGAAUAUGGUAAUGAUCAAUAUGGAGCUGGUAACGAUAUUGCUGAUUUGCUUCCGGAGAAUAUUGAUCUUAAUGUGGAUGAGGAUAUCUUGAACAUGGAAGCUCAGUUUGAGGAAUUUCUCCAAUCAUCCCGAAGUGGGCAACAAGGAAUUAAGUCACCUCUCUAUGGUGUCAAUGGAAUUCCGCAAUAUGGUAUGCACUGUCUCUCUCAUUCUUUCAAUUACUUGUCAUAACUUCCAGUUUAGUCAAUGGUGUUGUUACUAUUAUUCUCAUAUGAUUGUUCCUUCAUAAAAAUUUACCCCCUUGACAACAGGUUUACCCAAUGUUUCUGAUGCACUGAUAAGAACUAUGCGUUCACCAAGAUCCCCCGUUGCGCCUCCAAUGUACUAUGAGAAGCCAGCCAAGAUUGUGAGCUCAAGGAACAGCUUCCGCAGCAUCCAGCAG